UGGGGAAUAUUGCACAAUGGGGGAAACCCUGAUGCAGCGACGCCGCGUGAAGGAAGAAGUAUCUCGGUAUGUAAACUUCUAUCAGCAGGGAAGAUGAUGACGGUACCUGACUAAGAAGCCCCGGCUAACUACGUGCCAGCAGCCGCGGUAAUACGUAGGGGGCAAGCGUUAUCCGGAUUUACUGGGUGUAAAGGGAGCGUAGACGGCGUAUCAAGUCUGAUGUGAAAGGCAUGGGCUCAACCCGUGGACUGCAUUGGAAACUGGUAUGCUUGAGUGCCGGAGGGGUAAGCGGAAUUCCUAGUGUAGCGGUGAAAUGCGUAGAUAUUAGGAGGAACACCAGUGGCGAAGGCGGCUUACUGGACGGUAACUGACGUUGAGGCUCGAAAGCGUGGGGAGCAAACAGGAUUAGAUACCCUGGUAGU
RNAcentral lists this ribosomal RNA (422 nucleotides) under uncultured Blautia sp. RNAcentral describes it as "bacterial SSU rRNA". It matches the Rfam family "Bacterial small subunit ribosomal RNA", at positions 355 to 794 of the family's 1533-position model. Lineage: Bacteria; Bacillati; Bacillota; Clostridia; Lachnospirales; Lachnospiraceae. The record is from RNAcentral.